Molecule: ribosomal RNA, 591 nt
Filed under: uncultured Paracoccaceae bacterium
Lineage: Bacteria; Pseudomonadati; Pseudomonadota; Alphaproteobacteria; Rhodobacterales; Paracoccaceae
Description: bacterial SSU rRNA
Rfam family: Bacterial small subunit ribosomal RNA
Source: RNAcentral
CAAGUCGAGCGAAGUCUUCGGACUUAGCGGCGGACGGGUGAGUAACGCGUGGGAACGUACCCUUUGGUACGGAAUAGCCCCGGGAAACUGGGAGUAAUACCGUAUGGUGUCUUCGGACUAAAGAUUUAUCGCCAAAGGAUCGGCCCGCGUUGGAUUAGGUAGUUGGUGGGGUAAUGGCCUACCAAGCCGACGAUCCAUAGCUGGUUUGAGAGGAUGAUCAGCCACACUGGGACUGAGACACGGCCCAGACUCCUACGGGAGGCAGCAGUGGGGAAUCUUAGACAAUGGGCGCAAGCCUGAUCUAGCCAUGCCGCGUGAGUGAUGAAGGCCCUAGGGUUGUAAAGCUCUUUCAGCUGGGAAGAUAAUGACGGUACCAGCAGAAGAAGCCCCGGCUAACUCCGUGCCAGCAGCCGCGGUAAUACGGAGGGGGCUAGCGUUGUUCGGAAUUACUGGGCGUAAAGCGCGCGUAGGCGGAUUGAAAAGUUGGGGGUGAAAUCCCGGGGCUCAACCUCGGAACUGCCUUCAAAACUAUCAGUCUGGAGUUCGAGAGAGGUGAGUGGAAUUCCGAGUGUAGAGGUGAAAUUCGUAGAU